GACGAACGCUGGCGGCGUGCUUAACACAUGCAAGUCGAACGGUGAAGCGCCUUCCUUUUUGGUGGGUGUGGAUGAGUGGCGAACGGGUGAGUAACACGUGAGUAACCUGCCCCCUUCUUCUGGAUAACCGCAUGAAAGUGUGGCUAAUACGGGAUAUUCUGGGUCUGUCGCAUGAUGGGUCUGGGAAAGAUAUUGUUUCGGUGGGGGAUGGGCUCGCGGCCUAUCAGCUUGUUGGUGGGGUGAUGGCCUACCAAGGCGGUGACGGGUAGCCGGCCUGAGAGGGUGGACGGUCACACUGGGACUGCGGCACGGCCCAGACUCCUACGGGAGGCAGCAGUGGGGAAUAUUGCACAAUGGGCGCAAGCCUGAUGCAGCGACGCCGCGUGAGGGAUGGAGGCCUUCGGGUUGUGAACCUCUUUCGCCAGUGAAGCAGGCCUGCCUCGUUUGUGGGUGGGUUGACGGUAGCUGGAUAAGAAGCGCCGGCUAACUACGUG
RNAcentral lists this ribosomal RNA (494 nucleotides) under uncultured bacterium. RNAcentral's name for it is "partial 16S ribosomal RNA". It matches the Rfam family "Bacterial small subunit ribosomal RNA", at positions 28 to 507 of the family's 1533-position model. The record is from RNAcentral.